This is an RNA transcript of Pygocentrus nattereri (red-bellied piranha), 893 nucleotides long. It is a transcript of the gene named prostaglandin D2 synthase a, with no coding region annotated. The transcript is spliced from 8 exons. NCBI's taxonomy places the organism in Eukaryota, Metazoa, Chordata, Actinopteri, Characiformes, Serrasalmidae. The record is from RefSeq and is a predicted model, not a curated record.
CUGUUUUCCUGGCUCUGGUCCACUGUUCUCCUUUGACCAUGAAGUUUAUCCUUGCGACCAUCGCUUUGGCCGUGCUCCUGAGAGACACCUUUGGAGACAUCCAGCCUCAGAAAAACUUUGACAUUAAGAAGUUUGCAGGGAAGUGGUACCGUGUGGGUCUGGCUGAUGACUCCUCAAGCUUUGCACUGUUCAGAAACAGGCUCACAAUCAAUAUGGGAAUAGUGGAACCUAAAGACAAUGGUGAUGUCAAUAUGACUAUGUGGAAAAUGAUCAGAUCCACAGGCUGCAAGAGCAGAAUGUUCACAUACAUGAAGAAUGCCGUGCCUGGAGUGUUCACGUACUUUAGCACACGUCACAAUAUAAUGAAGGAUGUCACAAUAGUGGAGACUAACUACACCGAGUAUGCUUUGCUUUUCAAGUACAAGAAGUUCAACAGGGAGUAUACUCAAGUGUCUCUGUAUGGACGUACCCAGACAUUGAGAUCUGAGCUGAUUGAGAAGUUCAAAAAGUAUGCCAUGCAGCAGGGUUUCCCUGAGCGGUCCAUUCUGACCCCAUCACCACCUGCAGACAACUGCCCUCCUUCAGGACAGUAGAAUUUGAGGGACAGCCAUGAGGAACAGAGAUCCACCUAUGCACUAAAACUGUUCAUCUUUAGUGUAUAAGAGUCUGUCUCUUUGGGGCAUUAUGAUGGCGCAGUGCAUCAUGAGCCAGCAAAUAUCUACACUUUCUUCACUGAAUAAGCUGAACAACCUGGAAGAACUUCACAGUAUGAAACUUUACUGACAGCCUGCAUUGUUGUCUUAGAUGUAACUCAGUUGCUAAAUUGUCAAAUUACUCUGUAGUAACUUUUGCUAAUGGAACUGUAUAAAAAUACAGUUUGAUUUCUCCUCUGA